Molecule: small RNA, 468 nt
Filed under: Histoplasma capsulatum
Lineage: Eukaryota; Fungi; Ascomycota; Eurotiomycetes; Onygenales; Ajellomycetaceae
Also listed under: 1 other name
Description: hypothetical RNA
Source: RNAcentral
GGGGAUGUGUCGCGACGAAUGAGAUCGCGGAUUAAGAGUUGAUAUUGGCUAUGUAUAUACCUGUGUCUUGACCGUUGGCAGUUCUCAACCCCUUAAUCCAUUUUUAUCUCUGAGGUAGAUUUCGAACGCAAGAGGCGUUCGAAACCAUCAUCUACUACUCAGUAUGGUGCUCUGUGGGAACAGGACUAUACCUGGUUAAUUUUACCGCUGGCAAACGCCUCAAUAUUCACGGUUUGCAUGGUCUGUAUAGAAAGAUACUAUCUUCUAUUCCUAGCUUUGGUCAGUGGGUUUGGCAUAAAUACUAGUACGUCAGGGUCACUUUUGUACCAGCACUGGUACUACUGGCAUCCGUUAGAGACUUGACAUGAAGAAGAUUCACGACUUGCUUGCAGCAACGUCACGUAGUAGAAGUUUCUUUUCCCUCCAGCUGCCGGGGUAUUUGUUCUUAUAUUUAGUGGGAGUAAAAGG